UACGUAGGGUGCAAGCGUUGUUCGGAAUUACUGGGCGUAAAGGGAGCGUAGGCGGGGACUUAAGUUAGGAGUUUAAUGCACGGGCUCAACCCGUGUUUGGCUCUUAAUACUGAGUUUCUUGAAUAUGGGAGAGGGCGAUGGAAUUCCAGGUGUAGCGGUGGAAUGCGUAGAUAUCUGGAAGAACACCAGUAGCGAAGGCGGUCGCCUGGCCCAAUAUUGACGCUGAGGCUCGAAAGCUAGGGGAG
RNAcentral lists this ribosomal RNA (245 nucleotides) under uncultured bacterium. RNAcentral describes it as "partial 16S ribosomal RNA". It matches the Rfam family "Bacterial small subunit ribosomal RNA", at positions 524 to 768 of the family's 1533-position model. The record is from RNAcentral.